GCUUGCAUAGCUCAGUUGGUUAGAGCAUGGUGCUAAUAAUGCCAAGGUUGCAGGUUCAACCCCUGCUGUGAGCA
Basidiobolus meristosporus CBS 931.73 is the source of this 74-nucleotide transfer RNA. It matches the Rfam family "tRNA". From Rfam's summary of the family: Transfer RNA (tRNA) molecules are approximately 80 nucleotides in length. The record is from Rfam. Lineage: Eukaryota; Fungi; Basidiobolomycota; Basidiobolomycetes; Basidiobolales; Basidiobolaceae.